GCGUGCCAAACAGCGGCAGCACCGUGACACCCAAAAGUUAUAAAGGUGGUUCAGCUGGCACAAGUGUUGGACUACAACAUAUACUGUCGCUGCUCCUAACUGCAACAUUAAUAUUCUGCCUUCAGUUAUGAUUGAAGCUGCCCGAAGAGCAACAGAAGGCAAACUCGUUGAUUCUAUGAUCGCAAAACCCCCAUUAAAUGCCUAGAUCAGUUUCACAAGAAACUGUGCAAAAACUUAUUGUCUGAUUUGAUUUUUUUUUAACAAAGUAGUGAAACCUGGCAGCUCAGUGAUGCAUUGCAGGGGUGAACGUUUAGCAGUACAGCUGGUUAUCUUUCACUGGCCCCUGGUUACCAUGCACUGGCCGCUAGUUACCAGGCUCUGGCUGUAGGUUACUAGGCACUGUGCAUUGGUUAGAGGUCACUGGCCCCUAGUUAGUGGUCACUGGCCCUUGGUUACUGGUCAUUGGUCCCUUGUUCGUGGGCUCCGGUCGCUAGUUACUGGGUACCAGUGACAUUGAGAACAAGCUGCAGGAUGGAGUUGUGCAGAGUGGAACACCGAGCGAAUCUUUUCCAAUAUGGAAAAAUAUCAGUGCCAGCCAAUAGCUAAAUUAACUUCAAUAAUUUAUUGGUAAAUAUGUUGCAGUGAAAGCAAAUACUUAAUUUAAUUAAAAUUAUAUUUAUUUGUUAAAAAUACCUUUAAUCUGCCACAGCUCCAGAAUGGGGUUCAGUCCCAACCUCUGGUUCUGUCAGUGUGGAGUUAGCACAUUCUCCCUGUGACCUCUCAGUUCCUCCCAGUGCUCUGGUAUCCUCCCAUGUCCCACAGACCGGCAGGUUGGUUGGUCAGUCGGUCACUAAGUUGACUGAGGUGUAAGGGGGGGAUUUGAUGGGACAUUCAAAAGGGCACAAAGGGACUGAGUGGGAAACCAACUCAGCAUCUGUGAUCCAAAUGUUAAUAUGAAGAAUGUAGACUAUGAUUUUGUAUUGUAACUUCAAUUAUUUAAACCUGUUAGUAUUAAUCAAAUCAUUACUGUGCCAUAUUGCAUGAAAGAUGAAGUUAUAUUCUUGUAUUCUCUAUGCUUAUGAAUUAAGUUAAAUAAAGCAGA
Amblyraja radiata (thorny skate) is the source of this 1102-nucleotide long non-coding RNA. RefSeq lists it as uncharacterized. Lineage: Eukaryota; Metazoa; Chordata; Chondrichthyes; Rajiformes; Rajidae. The transcript has 3 exons. The record is from RefSeq and is a predicted model, not a curated record.